This 305-nucleotide ribosomal RNA is filed under the name uncultured eukaryote. RNAcentral's name for it is "SSU rRNA". It matches the Rfam family "Eukaryotic small subunit ribosomal RNA", at positions 111 to 414 of the family's 1831-position model. The record is from RNAcentral.
AAUAGUUUAUUUGGUGGUCAAUCAUUACAUGGAUAACCGUGGUAAUUCUAGAGCUAAUACAUGCGCUCAAACCCGACUCCGUGGAAGGGUGGUGUUUAUUAGAUACAGAACUAACCCAGGCUUUGCCUGGCCUUGUGGUGAUUCAUAAUAACCGAACGGAUCGCAUGGCAUCAGCUGGCGAUGAAUCUUUCAAGUUUCUGACCUAUCAGCUUCCGACGGUAGGGUAUUGGCCUACCGUGGCAAUGACGGGUAACGGAGAAUUAGGGUUCGAUUCCGGAGAGGGAGCCUGAGAAACGGCUACCACA